This 451-nucleotide ribosomal RNA is filed under the name uncultured bacterium. Its description in RNAcentral is "bacterial SSU rRNA". It matches the Rfam family "Bacterial small subunit ribosomal RNA", at positions 328 to 793 of the family's 1533-position model. The record is from RNAcentral.
UGACAGUACUCCUACGGGAGGCAGCAGUGGGGAAUAUUGCACAAUGGGCGCAAAGCCUGAUGCAGCAACGCCGUGUGAGUGAAGAAGGUUUUCGGAUCGUAAACUCUGUCCUAAGGGAAGAAACAAAUGACGGUACCUUAGGAGGAAGCCCCGGCUAACUACGUGCCAGCAGCCGCGGUAAUACGUAGGGGGCAAGCGUUAUCCGGAAUCACUGGGCGUAAAGGGUGCGUAGGCGGCUUAGCAAGCCAGGGGUGAAAGGCAUUGGCUCAACCAAUGUAAGCCUUUGGAACUGUUAAGCUUGAGUGCAGGAGAGGUAAGUGGAAUUCCUAGUGUAGAGGUGAAAAUUCGUAGAUAUUAGGAGGAACACCAGUGGCGAAGGCGACUUACUGGACUGUAACUGACGCUGAUGCACGAAAGCGUGGGUAGCGAACAGGAUUAGAUACCCUGGUAG